This is a long non-coding RNA of Plodia interpunctella (Indianmeal moth), 770 nucleotides long. RefSeq lists it as uncharacterized. The record is from RefSeq and is a predicted model, not a curated record. NCBI's taxonomy places the organism in Eukaryota, Metazoa, Arthropoda, Insecta, Lepidoptera, Pyralidae. The transcript has 3 exons.
AUUCAUGUCAAAUUAUACCAUUCAACCACACACAUAGUUACUUCGAUUUUAUUUUUCAUAUAUAUGCCUAUAUUUUAAAUAUAUAAUUAUUCAUAUUUGUAUUUCCAUUCCAGCUGAAAAUCAGCGCUGUGGCUUCCAGUCUUGGCAGAAAGCUGAGUUGGGAUCCUUUUCGGCAUAGAAUAUGUUUUUGUUUAGAAACUAAUGGUACCAGUUUCUAAAAAAAAUAUAGCGAGAUCUUGUCGCAUACAAUGCUUGACAAAAUAUUCGUGAUAGUGCUGAAACCGUUGAGGAGUUCUCUCGUCGGAAGCCGAUUCUGGGCGGUGCACCAGUGGAUCCCGCUCAUGGUUCAUGCCUGCUUAGAAGAAAUGGUGUAAAGUAGCUGCUAAAUCAGACUGCGCGACCGGAAUUACUUCAUAUUCUGUCUGUAUAGAAUCAAUUCGCCUUGACCCAGAGUGGAGCUAUCUGAAGGUCUACCACGAAACACAACACGUAGCACGUUACUAAUAUGCUGUCUCUUUUCCAUAUCGUGUGCGAAUCGUGUAAAAAAAAAAAGAGAGACGUGCUACGUGUUUUAUGUUUCACGGCAGCCCCCUGGCAUAUCAUAAUGAAGGAAGGGCAAAAAUCGAAGACCUGGAACACCUUGAAGAAGAGUCACAACAAUUCAGCUAAAUAGAAAAUAUACUUUUUCAGUGUGAUUAGCAUUUUCUGUAUGUAUACGUAUCGUUAGGUAGUCUAAUUAAAUUUCUCUAAUAGUUUUUGUUAUGUGUACG